GGGGAGAAAGCGCGCGCAGCGCCCGCAUGGGCCGAGCGGGAGUGGGCCGGCCUGCGGGCUGAUUUCCCGGCCGCUCGCUGCGCAGUGUUUUUCUUUUUCUUUUUAUGCAGUUUUUGCUUUAUAUUUGAAUUUGUGUAAUAAAUCUUGUGUUGAUCCAAAAUUCAUGGAAAUUUUUGUAUAGAUUCCCUGAAAUAAGUAGAACCCAAGAAAAAUAUUAGAUUUUAUUUUUUGAUAGUUUACAUG
Molecule: long non-coding RNA, 243 nt
Filed under: Sorghum bicolor (sorghum)
Lineage: Eukaryota; Viridiplantae; Streptophyta; Magnoliopsida; Poales; Poaceae
Description: long non-coding RNA (SBIC_LNC016161)
Source: RNAcentral